This 439-nucleotide unclassified non-coding RNA is filed under the name Hevea brasiliensis (rubber tree). The record is from RNAcentral. Lineage: Eukaryota; Viridiplantae; Streptophyta; Magnoliopsida; Malpighiales; Euphorbiaceae.
GCAUCCUCAAAAUUGGAAAAGAUUGGAUAUGUGGAGUCGGAAAACAAUAGCCAAGCAUCUGAAACUAAGCCCGCCAAAGAGGCCAUCGACUUCAAGGAACUUAAGCGAGUUGAUCACAUCCUUGCUUCUCUACAGCGGAAGCUUCCUGCAGUACCUCUGCCUCCACCUUUACCAGAAGGCUAUGCACCCCCUUCCACUUCAGAACCCUCUGAAAACCAGCAACCAGAGACUCAGCCGCCUCCAAUUGAUCCUAUUAUUGAUCAAGGCCCGUCUAAGAGAAUGAAGGUAUGAGAAGGGAGUGGUGUGUCAACUGUUGCAUAGGAGCAAGAACUUAGACAAGGUUGUCUGAAGUAAAAAUGGUAAGUCUGAAGUUACUGAUAAUUGCAUAAUUUCUCAUCUUUUCUGUCUCCAUCAGGAAGUUUGACAAUGUACAUCAAGC